CCAACAUGGAUAACCCAGGCGGUCACUCUCUCUGGGCUCUGUCCUAGUGGCAUAGGGUAGCAUAGGUUUCUGUCCCAUGAUGUGCAGUCACUUUCUACCAUUGGAGAUGAAGCUGGACUUUGAGUCUUUACCUGUAUAGUCCUAAAACUUCUCAGAGUCCUGUGGAUGAUGACUGGGGAGACAAACCAUGCAGGAAACAGUC
Molecule: small nucleolar RNA, 202 nt
Organism: Nannospalax galili (Upper Galilee mountains blind mole rat)
Lineage: Eukaryota; Metazoa; Chordata; Mammalia; Rodentia; Spalacidae
Gene: SNORA73
Rfam family: Small nucleolar RNA SNORA73 family
About the family: U17 (SNORA73A and SNORA73B) also known as E1 belongs to the H/ACA class of small nucleolar RNAs (snoRNAs). Vertebrate U17 is intron-encoded and ranges in length from 200-230 nucleotides, longer than most snoRNAs.
Source: Ensembl